UGAGUAACCUGCCCUUGACUCUGGAAUAACAGCUGGAAACAGCUGCUAAUACCGGAUACGACCUCCGAUGGCAUCAUCUGGAGGUGGAAAGCUCCGACGGUCAAGGAUGGGCUCGCGGCCUAUCAGCUUGUUGGUGAGGUAACGGCUCACCAAGGCUUCGACGGGUAGCCGGCCUGAGAGGGCGACCGGCCACAUUGAAACUGAGACACGGUCCAGACUCCGUAGGGAGG
This 230-nucleotide ribosomal RNA is filed under the name uncultured bacterium. RNAcentral's name for it is "partial 16S ribosomal RNA". It matches the Rfam family "Bacterial small subunit ribosomal RNA", at positions 118 to 348 of the family's 1533-position model. The record is from RNAcentral.